RNA transcript from Carassius gibelio (silver crucian carp), 5918 nucleotides. It is a transcript of the gene named PWWP domain containing 2A, with no coding region annotated. The transcript is spliced from 3 exons. NCBI's taxonomy places the organism in Eukaryota, Metazoa, Chordata, Actinopteri, Cypriniformes, Cyprinidae. The record is from RefSeq and is a predicted model, not a curated record.
GAGGGCCAAGUAGUAGAUGCAAAGCGGAAAGAAAAUGGCGGCCGUGGCUGCGGAGCCAGGAGCUGCUGCGGCAUCAACAACAGCGGGGGACGGGGUGGACUACGAACCCGAGCCAGGAGAGCAUGUGGUCGACCUAGAGGCCCACUCCGUCCCAAAAAUUGAGCUUUGUCACCAACCCGAGGAUGUAGAUGCAGUUCAGGAAUGCAGCCAGGUCCAAAUGGAAAUCAGAAGGCCGGACCUUCAAGCCGCGGGAAAAGCCCUCGCUGCCCAUGCGGUCUGUGAGCGCCCCGAGACGGGGGGUUCCUGGGGCCGCCUGGGCACAAUCGAGCAGCCCGUGCUUAUGGACUACAGGUGUAAAGAUGUUUCUGAUUACGAGGAAUCUUUGUCGCCGAAGGUGGAGGCUGCAAACGAGGUCAGUGCUCUCGAAUCCAGCCCCUUCCUCCUGCUCCCCAGCUCCAUCCCACACUCCCAGCCCUCUGUGGUCUUCUUGCAUUCCCUUCCCGCGGAGGUUCCGUCGGAGCCCGAAACUGGAUUGUCUCUGGCUGUCGAAUAUGACUCCAAGCCCGUGUUAAGCCAUCCUACCGAUCUGGAGUGUGAACUCAUAGGCUUCACGCAGCCGGACCCGGAGCCCGAACCCGCAAACGAUGCUCCCGAGUCGGAACUCAAAACUCACGAGGAUGCUUUCCAUGACAUCCCGCACCCCUCGGACCACCUCGACUCUCUGUCCGCUGCAGAGGAGACCUCGCUGGGAGAAUCGGUGGAUCAGAGCUGCAUCAGUGACUUGUCUACCGUUUCCAGUAAGGACUCUCCCGAACUUCCCGCGGUGGUGGAUCAGGCGCUUGUCUCGUCGGAGGAAGUGCGCUCGCAUCCUCUUCAUCAGCAGAGUUUCGAGACGGACCUCAGCGAACCCGAGAGGGAGUCGGAGAUGAAAGCCCCGGUUCUGUGUGCGACAGAGACCGACACGCUUGAGCGCCUGGUGCUCGGCUCCGAGGUUCGAGUCACGCUGGAUCACAUCAUCGACGAUGCGCUCGUGGUGUCGUUUCGCUUAGGCGAGAAGAUCUUCUCCGGGGUACUCAUGGACCUCUCCAAAAGGUUUGGACCUUAUGGGAUUCCUAUAACUGUGUUCCCCAAGAGAGACUAUAAGGACAAACCAGAAUCUAUGCAGCUAAAGAUGGAAGCAUUCCAGUCAGAGACGGAUAAGGCCGUCACUCAAGGACCUAGUGAUGCCCCCAUUAAGGACCCUGCAGAUGCUCCGGAUACCCCUCUGAAGGACCCUGCGGAGGCUCCUGCAGCGCCCCAGCCCUGUCCCAACCCUCAACCUAACCCAUGGACCUCAAAACCACCUCCUUUGUUUCAGGAGGGGGCCCCUUAUCCACCUCCAUUGUUCAUCAGGGACACCUACAACCAGUCAUUACCUCAGCCUCUACCACGCAAAAUCAAGCGACCCAAGCGCAGGCUGUAUCGAGAGGAGCCCACUUCUAUAAUGAAUGCCAUCAAGCUCCGACCAAGACAAGUCCUGUGUGAUAAAUGUAAAGGGGCUGUGGUGCAAGGGGACAGGCGUGAGACACGCAGAGGCCCCAUUUCAGACUGCCGAAGUGACGAUGCCAAAAGACGUCGUAAUGACAGUGCAACGGCAGCUGCCGGUAAGCGGCCACGUAGUGAUCCACGUUCUGAAGAGAAGGGUCGUGGUACUGAUGGGCCCAAACGGCAGGGUUCGGCUGUACGAGUGUCAUCGGCCACUGCCUCUUCUCUGGGCCAUAGUCAGGUCAAGGGUGCAACUGCAGGGAACAAAAUGGUGAAGGGGGUGUCUACUACAACAGCGUCCUCUGCAAACUCUCGAGUGCAGCUCAAUGCCAAAAAAGUUCUUCAGAGCAAAAAUGUUGACCACUCCAAAGCACGAGAGGUGCUGAAGAUGGCCAAGGCUCAGAGAAGACAGAGAGAGACAGUCACGGGCAGUAGCGGGAACACCAAGGCCAUAACCAGGGCCGCUGCCCUCCAGGAAGCCCACCAAAAGGUCCACUUCACCAGGCGACUGCAGCAGAUCAGUGGAGGAGGUCCAGGUUCCAACCCCUUGCCGCCUAGGAUGCGCAUCAAGCCCCAAAGGUACCGUAAUGAAGAGAACGAUUCUUCCUCAUGUAAGCCGCCUUGCUUGGAGAAAGUGCCGGGAGGGGGCCGUUUACUGCUGCCUAAACCAGCCGUGCCCCGCUGCACCUCCACACGCUCCUCCUCCUCCUCCUGCUCUGCAAGCAAAGUCGCCACAGCUGUAGAGCCCCAGAGGCCAGACAAAGCAAUCGAAUCCCUGCUCAGCCAGACCCAACCCGAGCCCCUCCCAGCCCCGGAAUACAGGGAAUCCCAAGCUGAGCCAGAGGAACAGGAGGGGCGGGAGGAAAAGCGGGAGACACGUGGGAGCAAGGCUGGUAACCUAGUGGUCUACAUGACCCUUAACCCCAGCCAGCCCGACUCCUCUAAUACCUCCAUGUGCAGCAUCGAUAGUGCAGAUGACUUAAAGUCAUCAAACUCUGAGUGUAGCUCUACCGAAACGUUUGACUUCCCCCCUCCUGGUGAUUUGCGAUCGGCCCCUGCCCCUGGCACAUCCUCCGCUUUUGCCUCCGCCUCUCCCUCUGCUCCUAAGGAUGACAAAAAGCGCAGUAAAUCCCUCAAAGCUGCCGUCUUUUCCAAAAACGUCACAAAGUGCGUUGCCCUGGAUGGCAGGACAAUUUGUGUAGGGGACAUUGUUUGGGCCAAAAUUCUUGGCUUCCCUUGGUGGCCCGCCCGCAUCCUAGCCAUCACAGUGAGUCGCAAAGAUAAUGGGCUCUUAGUCAGGCAGGAGGCCCGGGUCUCUUGGUUUGGGUCACCCACCACUUCCUUCCUGGCCAUUACUCAACUUGCCCCAUUUCUAGAAAGCUUCCAGUCUCGCUUUGACAAGAAGAGAAAGGGCCUGUAUCGUAAAGCCAUCACUGAGGCCGCCAAGGCUGCCGAACAGCUUACACCCGAGGUCCGAGCCUUGCUAACUCAGUUUGAGACGUGAGGUGGUAUGCUUUGGUAAGGUAGGCAAGACAGGCACUCGAGUUGGCCCUGUACCCAUUCUGACACCUCUCAAACUUUGCUGUACCCAGUCAGCUUCCAGAGUGAAAUACAGAAAAACGUCAGCCAGGCAACCAGGACUAAUUUAUUUUUGUUGAGGAAGCAAGAGAAGGGGAUUGAAUUGAGUAACUGAAGGCAAACGGUUCCCUUGUCAAGUGUCUAGUGUUUGCCCAUAUGUAACCAGUCUUGUCCCAUCUUGUCAUAUCAUCUUACAUUUACUAUACUAAAAGCAGAUGACUGAGAUUUCUAGAAAAAGGUUUUAUUGAUUCUUGAGUGAUAACAAUAUUUGUUGUCCUUGAACAUAUCUGUUCUUGGUCAGUGGCUGCUGUAAACAUGAAAAGCAAGUCUUCUCAGACUGGGAUUUUUUUCAGCGUGACUAGCUUUCGCCUGAAGUUCAUUAGGCAUGUGUGAAAAUGUCUGCUUGAAUCCAUUCUCAAAUGGUUACUAACUAAACAGUGGCCAGUCGAUUGCUACAUAGUCUGGAUCCCUAAUUUAGCACAGUUAAUGCUUCCCAUUGGAUGAACCGAGGAAGUUUUCAAUCACUACAGUGUUUCUAGACGUCCAGUCUCCCUUAAGAUUACAUGAAGCCUUGGAUAUUUUAUUUAGGCCAUCCUAGAAUUGUUUUCUUUUAAUAUUGGAAGUUGUGUAACAAAGUUGACCCUGUUGGGUAGUGAGUGCCUCGCUCAGGUAGAAAAAGGGACUAAAUUGGUGCUGAUCUUUCUCAGAUGUUCUGAGAAGACUAAUCCGAGUUCAGUGAUCCGAGCAGAGGGCUGUUGAUCUGGGCGCGGCUCUUGGCUCGGCAGCCAGUCGCGCUGCUGUUACGGGGGGAGGUGCCUGUAAGCCGAAGUCACCUCAAGUGCCACUGUGAGGGAGAGCACAGUGACUCUGUAAACGCAGAGAGUACACCUCAAACACGGAGAAACCUGCCAGCCUAUCCCCACCCCUCGCAGCUACAACAUCUGCUUCUCAAGCUCAUUCUUCUCUUAAUCUACUUGCCCUGUUCCCAGCUUCUUUUUCUUUUCCUCCACUUGUUUUGCUCCCUCCUGCCGUUGUCAUAUGUUUGCAUCUUCGACUGUGUUUAUAUGUCUGAUUAUGGCGAAAAUGUUCCUGACAGUUUUUGCAUGAAUUUGGGAGAGUAUACAGUGUGUUAAAUGGGUAAAUGAUCUUCUUUUUUUUUUAUUGUUCCAUAUGUUAUUCCAAUUUAGGCAUAUCACUUUAAGAAGCAAACAAGUUUUUAUGUAGCUGCAGUGGAAUGCAGAACUCUUUUAAAAUGAGUUCCUUUAAGUAACUCAAUGAAACACUUGUGUCCCGCUGCAAAGAAGGCAUCGGAGCACAAGGGAGCAGUUCUCAUAUGUGUGAAUAUGUUCGUCAUAAUUAUGGGCCUCUGGCUGGUUUAGUUGUUCAGUGAUUUGUUAUGAUUCCAGUAUUCAUUGUCUCUCAUCUGAAAUGUUUUGCUAAGGAUUAUUGUGCUUUGAAUUUAUUUGUCGUGCCUGAACUUUAUUUGCUGUCAUUUCACUAUUUGAAUAAUAGGGCUGAAGGUCUUGUAAUGUAAAGUGUUCAAAAUGUGUUUCGCCUGACUGAAUUGAAGAUAAAUGACCUGGGUCUUAUUUCAAUGCUGAGAACCAACAAUUUUAUCUGUAUGGAGGAGCAUUAAUAAUUAUUUUUUUUUAUUUCUUGUCUGUAAUCAUGGUUGUGUCUUUUGCAUUGCAUACCCAUUAGCAUCUUAUAUUUACACAUCUGAGAAGGGACAUACUGUAAGAUACCUUGGUCUUUCCACAUAUGACUUCGCAGGUAGAGAUCGAUGACUUGAGGAAAAAAAAACAAUGCUUGGUAGACCACACUGACUGACUGCCAGAGUGCUGCAACUCUGAAGGGCUGCUGAUUGGUCCGUCGCCCAAAGCACUGCCAUUGGUCAAGAGCCGGUAAGAUGAGAGGAGCCACCCACACUUGGAGAAGCAGGUGUAAUGGAGAAAAUAUUUUUAUUUAUGAAAUGAUUAUAUAUUUAUAACUAUGAAUUACAGACUCUCCACCUAUUUCCCGAUCGGUCAUGCUGAAAUGAAUUUUUCAAACUGGAUUUUUCUUUAUGAGGGCUUUUUUUGUGUUUAAAGCAUAUGAAAGAACAUUUGCAAAUACUGAACAGCACAGGGGAGUUACGGCUGUUGUGGAUGGUAGGUGGCGAUUCGGCACACUUUAAAGCAGGGUUUUUAAGUGUUUGUUUGUAAUGAAAGAGAAAUAUGAAGAUAACUUAUAAAAUAAAAUAAAAAAAUAACAUUUGAUGUAAAAAUGCAAUAAAUUUUGCAUGUGCUAUGCUCCACAGUUCAAUUACAGAGGAUUGGGUUUUAUUGUGCUUCUAGUCUUGGAUGAAAUCCCAGUGUUCUUUUACAACAUCUGUGCUCCUUUAUAUCUGAGCGUAAACACAGUCUAGACUGUUCUUGAAGAUUUCCACUCUGUGGCACACCACACAUUAAAUGAUCAAUGCAAUCUGUACAGCGUUACAAAUCCCUCCGACCCACUAGUCGACUUUCACCUUUUUUGUGCUCCCCUCCAUUGAUAAAUGAUUUUCUAACAAUACAAGUCAAACAUAGCAGUAAGAACGCAGUUUUUCUAUCUCUCAGUUGUAGAAUGCUUUGCUUUGAGCAGCAUUCAUCGCACAUGCUCAACCUGAUGCCUGUAUAAAGGGAAUUAAGAGCGAGUGAGAAACCUUCAGUCUUGCUGUUGUACAAUUAGAGAGCUCUCCUGACUAUACAUAUGAAGAUGGUGGUCAUGGGCAUACAUUUGUUUUAUUAUUGUAUUAAAUGUACAUCUCUUUAUGAAAUAAAACCUGUUUUUCUUUU